RNAcentral lists this ribosomal RNA (484 nucleotides) under uncultured bacterium. RNAcentral's name for it is "partial 16S ribosomal RNA". It matches the Rfam family "Bacterial small subunit ribosomal RNA", at positions 30 to 507 of the family's 1533-position model. The record is from RNAcentral.
AUUGAACGCUGGCGGCAGGCCUAACACAUGCAAGUCGAGCGGAUGAAGGGAGCUUGCUCCUGGAUUCAGCGGCGGGCGGGUGAGUAAUGCCUAGGAAUCUGCCUGGUAGUGGGGGAUAACGUCCGGAAACGGGCGCUAAUACCGCAUACGUCCUGAGGGAGAAAGUGGGGGAUCUUCGGACCUCACGCUAUCAGAUGAGCCUAGGUCGGAUUAGCUAGUUGGUGGGGUAAAGGCCUACCAAGGCGACGAUCCGUAACUGGUCUGAGAGGAUGAUCAGUCACACUGGAACUGAGACACGGUCCAGACUCCUACGGGAGGCAGCAGUGGGGAAUAUUGGACAAAGGGCGAAAGCCUGAUCCAGCCAUGCCGCGUGUGUGAAGAAGGUCUUCGGAUUGUAAAGCACUUUAAGUUGGGAGGAAGGGCAGUAAGUUAAUACCUUGCUGUCUUGACGUUACCAACAGAAUAAGCACCGGCUAACUUCGUG